UACGUAGGGUGCGAGCGUUAAUCGGAAUUACUGGGCGUAAAGCGUGCGCAGGCGGUCUGUUAAGACAGAUGUGAAAUCCCCGGGCUUAACCUGGGAACUGCAUUUGUGACUGGCAGGCUAGAGUAUGGCAGAGGGGGGUAGAAUUCCACGUGUAGCAGUGAAAUGCGUAGAGAUGUGGAGGAAUACCGAUGGCGAAGGCAGCCCCCUGGGCCAAUACUGACGCUCAUGCACGAAAGCGUGGGAGCAAGCAGG
Molecule: ribosomal RNA, 252 nt
Filed under: uncultured bacterium
Lineage: Bacteria
Description: partial 16S ribosomal RNA
Rfam family: Bacterial small subunit ribosomal RNA
Source: RNAcentral